AGAGAAAUCCCCAAAGCCCUCCUUACGCUCCUCGUUAGUGCCAUUUUAUCACCGUUUUGUCAUAGUAUUUAACCUGGAUGUUUAUCAAAGUUAUUCACACUUCGAAGCAACAUUCCUUCCAAUGUUACUGCCAAACUUCAGAACGGAGAGGAUUGCCGACUGGAUUGACAAAACUUGGGGAAGAUGACCAGUCAGUUGACUCAGAUUCCCGAGCUUUAACGCACUUGUGGGAUUAGGUGUUUUCCCAGCAAAUGCUAAAGGUCUGCUGCCUCUCCAUGGUUGCUAUACGUCAGGGGUGUGUGGUUGGAAAUAAAGUGGUGCCGGUGUGCUUUCUCCCCAUCAAUCAGCCACACAUCCAGAGGGCAACAGAAGCGCUUGGUCUCCAUUGCACAUCUAUCACAGCAUCCCUCAGCUGCCUCCACAAUGAGAUGGCCUGACAGAUUAACAAAACAGAGGGGAACGGAAGGGAAGGACAAUGCCAGAGCCAACAAACGUUUCCAUCUGACACAGGACAAGGACUCCCCUGUACACAGUGACAUGGUUUUUGUUUUCUUGCUGUUGUCUUUCACAAGCUUGUUAGGCAGAAAGUUACCCGAGGCAUCAAUGAAAACCCAGAGUCUCUUAUUAUUGUUGUUCUAGAAUCCAACAGGGCUGUGCAGGGCUCCCUGGGUCUGAUCUGGGGGCCAAUCCAGCACUUUGGAUCAACACUGAUCCAACCCUGGCUGAUCCAGGGCAGACCUGACAUGAAUCUGGACCCCAAAUCAUUUGGGGGGGGAAGCCCUAAUGUUUAUUUAGGAGUUUAAACCCUAGUUGGACAUGCGGUCAGGAGGGACACAGGAGCAGCAGGAGACACUGCAUCUCCCCCACCCUCCAUGGCAUAUUUAAUCAGAUGUUCAAACACAGGGGGGCAGGGGAAGAUGCU
Molecule: long non-coding RNA, 922 nt
Organism: Rhineura floridana
Lineage: Eukaryota; Metazoa; Chordata; Lepidosauria; Squamata; Rhineuridae
Exons: 3
Source: RefSeq, a predicted model, not a curated record